GACGAACGCUGGCGGCGUGCUUAACACAUGCAAGUCGAACGAUGAAGCUGGAGCUUGCUCCGGUGGAUUAGUGGCGAACGGGUGAGUAACACGUGAGCAAUCUGCCCUUGACUCUGGGAUAACUGCGGGAAACUGUAGCUAAUACCGGAUACGAGGCUCGAAGGCAUCUUCGGGUCUGGAAAGAAUUUCGGUCAAGGAUGAGCUCGCGGCCUAUCAGCUUGUUGGUGAGGUAAUGGCUCACCAAGGCGACGACGGGUAGCCGGCCUGAGAGGGGGACGGGCCACACUGGGACUGAGACACGGCCCAGAGUACUACGGGAGGCAGGAGUGGGGAAUAUUGCACAAUGGGCGAAAGCCGGAUGCAGCAACGCCGCGUGAGGGAUGAAGGCCUUCGGGUUGUAAACCUCUUUUAGCAGGGAAGAAGCGAAAGUGACGGUACCUGCAGAAAAAGCACCGGCUAACUACGUGCCAGCCGCCGCAGUAA
RNAcentral lists this ribosomal RNA (483 nucleotides) under uncultured bacterium. RNAcentral's name for it is "partial 16S ribosomal RNA". It matches the Rfam family "Bacterial small subunit ribosomal RNA", at positions 28 to 523 of the family's 1533-position model. The record is from RNAcentral.